GAUGAACGCUGGCGGCGUGCCUAAUACAUGCAAGUCGAGCGAACGGACGAGAAGCUUGCUUCUCUGAUGUUAGCGGCGGACGGGUGAGUAACACGUGGAUAACCUACCUAUAAGACUGGGAUAACUUCGGGAAACCGGAGCUAAUACCGGAUAAUAUUUUGAACCGCAUGGUUCAAAAGUGAAAGACGGUCUUGCUGUCACUUAUAGAUGGAUCCGCGCUGCAUUAGCUAGUUGGUAAGGUAACGGCUUACCAAGGCAACGAUGCAUAGCUGACCUGAGAGGGUGAUCGGCCACACUGGAACUGAGACACGGUCCAGACUCCUACGGGAGGCAGCAGUAGGGAAUCUUCCGCAAUGGGCGAAAGCCUGACGGAGCAACGCCGCGUGAGUGAUGAAGGUCUUCGGAUCGUAAAACUCUGUUAUUAGGGAAGAACAUAUGUGUAAGUAACUGUGCACAUCUUGACGGUACCUAAUCAGAAAGCAACGGCUAACUACGUG
RNAcentral lists this ribosomal RNA (497 nucleotides) under uncultured bacterium. RNAcentral's name for it is "partial 16S ribosomal RNA". It matches the Rfam family "Bacterial small subunit ribosomal RNA", at positions 28 to 507 of the family's 1533-position model. The record is from RNAcentral.